RNAcentral lists this transfer RNA (133 nucleotides) under Chryseobacterium endalhagicum. Its description in RNAcentral is "tRNA-OTHER". It matches the Rfam family "tRNA". From Rfam's summary of the family: Transfer RNA (tRNA) molecules are approximately 80 nucleotides in length. Their secondary structure includes four short double-helical elements and three loops (D, anti-codon, and T loops). Lineage: Bacteria; Pseudomonadati; Bacteroidota; Flavobacteriia; Flavobacteriales; Weeksellaceae. The record is from RNAcentral.
GAAGCUGUAGCUCAGUUGGUAGAGCAACGUAAAAACACUUUAUACUAAUUUUAAUCUGCUUUGGCAGGUGUGUUCCAUAAAGUUACUUCGCCUUUUAAGCCGUAUGCCGCCGGUUCGAGCCCGGCCAGCUUCC